Molecule: small nucleolar RNA, 132 nt
Organism: Mastomys coucha (southern multimammate mouse)
Lineage: Eukaryota; Metazoa; Chordata; Mammalia; Rodentia; Muridae
Product: small nucleolar RNA SNORA17
Exons: 1
Source: RefSeq, a predicted model, not a curated record
AAUGGCAAUAUGGGGGCAUUACAGGUGCAGCUGUUGUGUCACAUGUGCGUCAGUAGGUGGCAGAGAGGAGAGAGGCUAUGUCCACUCUCAGUGUUCUGAUUUGUGACUCUGAAUAAUUAGUUCCCUAACACU